AAAGAGCUUUGGGUACUGGACUCUUUUGUGCACAGAACACAUAUAGCAUUGGGCAGCAGCAGUGAAUGCUUCCCCAACCCCGUCCUAUCUUAUGUUUCAACCCUGACUUGAUGUAUCUCCUGUCGGGUGAGAGGGGAGUUCUGAAGCCCUCUGAAGAGAGGUUAAU
Molecule: small RNA, 166 nt
Filed under: Chelonoidis abingdonii (Abingdon island giant tortoise)
Lineage: Eukaryota; Metazoa; Chordata; Testudines; Testudinidae
Description: TUC338 (ENSCABG00000003570.1)
Source: RNAcentral